UUGAAUAGCGUAGUGUUGAUGCUGGCUCUCUCGGGGGCAUGUGCUCGCAUUGCAUUAUUAUUAUCUCUUGUGCACCUUUGCUAGGCUUUGGAGUGAGCACCUUUCGUGCGCUUCUAAAGUGUUGCGGCUGGGGCUUGCAGUUUGCUUGCCCUACCCGUUCGCUUCAGAGUCUAUGUUUUAUAUACCCUGUUAAAGUUAUAGAAUGUCUUCUUACUUGACUGGAAAGUCAGUAAAUUUAUA
This 240-nucleotide unclassified non-coding RNA is filed under the name uncultured Agaricomycetes. RNAcentral describes it as "sequence contains ITS1". Lineage: Eukaryota; Fungi; Basidiomycota; Agaricomycetes. The record is from RNAcentral.